UGGCGGCGUGCUUAACACAUGCAAGUCGAACGGAAAGGCCCUGCUUUUGUGGGGUGCUCGAGUGGCGAACGGGUGAGUAACACGUGAGUAACCUGCCCUUGACUUUGGGAUAACUUCAGGAAACUGGGGCUAAUACCGGAUAGGAGCUCCUGCUGCAUGGUGGGGGUUGGAAAGUUUCGGCGGUUGGGGAUGGACUCGCGGCUUAUCAGCUUGUUGGUGGGGUAGUGGCUUACCAAGGCUUUGACGGGUAGCCGGCCUGAGAGGGUGACCGGCCACAUUGGGACUGAGAUACGGCCCAGACUCCUACGGGAGGCAGCAGUGGGGAAUAUUGCACAAUGGGCGGAAGCCUGAUGCAGCAACGCCGCGUGCGGGAUGACGGCCUUCGGGUUGUAAACCGCUUUCGCCUGUGACGAAGCGUGAGUGACGGUAAUGGGUAAAGAAGCACCGGCUAACUACGUGCCAGCAGCCGCGGUGAUACGUAGGGUGCGAGCGUUGUCCGGAUUUAUUGGGCGUAAAGGGCUCGUAGGUGGUUGAUCGCGUCGGAAGUGUAAUCUUGGGGCUUAACCCUGAGCGUGCUUUCGAUACGGGUUGACUUGAGGAAGGUAGGGGAGAAUGGAAUUCCUGGUGGAGCGGUGGAAUGCGCAGAUAUCAGGAGGAACACCAGUGGCGAAGGCGGUUCUCUGGGCCUUUCCUGACGCUGAGGAGCGAAAGCGUGGGGAGCGAACAGGCUUAGAUACCCUGGUAGUCCACGCUGUAAACGGUGGGUACUAGGUGUGGGGUCCAUUCCACGGGUUCCGUGCCGUAGCUAACGCUUUAAGUACCCCGCCUGGGGAGUACGGCCGCAAGGCUAAAACUCAAAGGAAUUGACGGGGCCCCGCACAAGCGGCGGAGCAUGCGGAUUAAUUCGAUGCAACGCGUAGAACCUUACCUGGGUUUGACAUGGAUCGGGAGUGCUCAGAGAUGGGUGUGCCUCUUUUGGGGUCGGUUCACAGGUGGUGCAUGGCUGUCGUCAGCUCGUGUCGUGAGAUGUUGGGUUAAGUCCCGCAACGAGCGCAACCCUUGUUCACUGUUGCCAGCACGUUAUGGUGGGGACUCAGUGGAGACCGCCGGGGUCAACUCGGAGGAAGGUGGGGAUGACGUCAAGUCAUCAUGCCCCUUAUGUCCAGGGCUUCACGCAUGCUACAAUGGCUGGUACAGAGAGUGGCGAGCCUGUGAGGGUGAGCGAAUCUCGGAAAGCCGGUCUCAGUUCGGAUUGGGGUCUGCAACUCGACCUCAUGAAGUCGGAGUCGCUAGUAAUCGCAGAUCAGCAACGCUGCGGUGAAUACGUUCCCGGGGCUUGUACACACCGCCCGUCAAGUCAUGAAAGUUGGUAACACCCGAAGCCGGUGGCCUAACCGUUGUGGGGGAGCCGUCGAAGGUGGGACUGGUGAUUAGGACUAAGUCGU
Molecule: ribosomal RNA, 1445 nt
Filed under: uncultured organism
Description: 16S ribosomal RNA
Rfam family: Bacterial small subunit ribosomal RNA
Source: RNAcentral